This 11607-nucleotide long non-coding RNA is filed under the name Marmota monax (woodchuck). The record is from RNAcentral. Lineage: Eukaryota; Metazoa; Chordata; Mammalia; Rodentia; Sciuridae.
UUUAAUCUUCUGCUAUCUAUUCUUCAUGUCACUUUUCAUUUUUAUUUGUCUUUAGGUGGGAAGUUUGGAAUUAAGAACUCAAAAAAAAGUACUUCUGCAAAAACUACAUUUCAUAGUGAAAUAGAGGAUAAAGAUACAAGAGAUGAUUCACUGUAUUCCGUUUUAGAAGAACUGUGGCAAGAUGCUGAACAGAUAAAAAUAUGCCAGGAAAAACAGAACAGCCCUUUGAAUCACACUGAUUUUAUCAAUAAGAAAAUAUUGAACACAGAAUGGGAUUAUGAAUAUACAGACAUUGGAAGUUGUGUACAUCCAAGCCCAAAUCUCAUUCCUUCACAGAAAAGACCCCAUAAACAUGACUCAUUUGAAAAACGUUUUAGGCAUAAUAUGGACUUACAUAUUCAUAAUAAAAACAAUACAACAAAGAACUUUGAUAAAAUUGUUAGUCAUGGUCAAGUUUUCACCCAGAACACUUCCUUUACUAACCAUGAAAAUUCACAUAUGGGAGUGAAGUUCUGCGAAAGUGAUCAGUGUGAAAAAGUCCUCAAACAUGCACUCAGUCAAAAUCUGAAAUUUCCUGUUGGGGAGAAAGCAAGCACAUGUGCUGAAUUUGGAAAGAUCUUCACCCAAAAGUCGUAUCUCUUUGCACCUCCAAAAAUUCAUACUGUGGAAAAACCUCAUGAACUUAACAAAUGUGUAAAUGCAUUUACACAGAAGCCACUACUCAGUAUAUAUCUGAGAGUUCAUAGAAAUGAAAAACUAUACAUAUGUUCUCAAUGUGGAAAGGCUUUCCUCCAGAAUUCAGAAUUAAUGAUGCAUGAGAAAAGUCAUACUAGAGAGAAACCCUAUAAAUGCACUGAAUGUGGAAAGUCAUUUUUCCAGCUGUCAUCUCUACUCAGGCAUCAGACAACUCAUACUGGAGAAAAACUCUAUGAAUGCAGUGAAUGUGGGAAAGGCUUUUCCCUGAACUCAGCACUCAAUAUACAUCAGAAAAUCCAUACUGGAGAGAGACAUCACAAAUGUAGUGAGUGUGGAAAAGCCUUCACCCAGAAGUCAACACUCAGGAUGCAUCAGAGAAUUCACACAGGAGAGAGAUCCUAUAUAUGCACUGAAUGUGGACAGGCUUUCAUCCAGAAGGCCCACUUGAUUGCACAUCAAAGAAUUCAUACCGGAGAGAAGCCUUAUGAAUGCAGUGAUUGUGGGAAAUCUUUUCCUUCUAAGUCCCAACUCCAGAUGCAUAAGCGAAUUCACACAGGAGAAAAACCCUAUAUAUGCAAUGAAUGUGGGAAGGCCUUCACCAACAGGUCAAAUCUCAAUACUCACCAGAAGUCUCAUACUGGAGAGAAGUCUUAUAUAUGUGCUGAAUGCGGGAAGGCCUUCACUGACAGGUCAAAUUUCAAUAAACACCAGACCAUUCAUACAGGAGAAAAACCCUAUGUUUGUGCUGAUUGUGGACGAGCCUUCAUCCAGAAGUCAGAGUUAAUUACACAUCAGAGAAUUCAUACUACAGAGAAGCCUUAUAAAUGUCCUGACUGUGAGAAAUCCUUCUCCAAGAAACCACAUCUCAAAGUACAUCAGCGAAUUCACACAGGAGAGAAACCGUACAUAUGUGCAGAGUGUGGGAAGGCCUUCACUGACAGGUCAAAUUUCAAUAAACAUCAGACAAUUCAUACUGGAGAUAAACCCUAUAAAUGCAAUGACUGUGGAAAGGGCUUCACCCAGAAAUCCGUUCUUAGUAUGCAUCGCAAUAUUCAUACAUGAAAUAACCCUGUUUCUUAAAAAUGAGAGAGCCUUACCGUAGAAGUCAGGUCUACUCAUGUAUUAUAAAAUUCAUCUAAGACAGACCUUGUAUGAGUACACUGUAUUAAAAAAAGCAUUCAUCAGGCUAUCUCACCUGAGAUGAAAAAAAAAAAAUUAGAAGAGACCCUAUAAGAAUACAUUGAAGAAAGGGGAAUUUGGGGGCUGGGGUUGUGACUCAGUGACACAGCGCUUGCCUAGCAUGUGUGAAGCGCAGGGUUUGAUCCUCAGCACCACAUACAAAUAAACAAAAUAAAGGUCCAUUGACAACUAAAAGAUAUUUAAAAAGGGUGGGGGGUGAAUUUAACAUUUACACAGCCUCACAAAAUACAAUAGAAUUAACAUUGAGAAUGCUAUCAGUUUGGUACAUUAGGAAAAUCCUUCCUAUAGAAAGUAUCAUGAGGCAAAUUAUUACCAAAUGCUUUAUAGGUUGGAGGAUGCAAAUUUAUAGAAAUGACAGUCAUGUUUUCUAUGUUAUAGUAAGCAGUUUAACAAGAAAAUAAUGUAUUCGUUGUGCAGACCUUUUCAGUUCUUUUCGCUGUUUGUGGUAAAAUAUUGCAUAACAUAUUGCAUAAUUGAAUUGAAAUUCUUUUUUAAAAUUUAGAAUGUUUAUCAAAUGUUUGUUAUUGAACAUAUCUAUCAGAUGAAUUCAUAAGUUUAAAGUUAUUUUGGCUUUUUAUAUACGCACAUCUGCAGAUAUAAUUUUAUAUGAACAUAUACUGUUUUCAUACUGUUUUCCAUGACAUAGUAUUCUUCUUUCAUUGUAUACAAUGCAAAAUAGCCACAGAUUCCUCCCAUCCAUUUAUGCGUGGCCCCUUUUGCAAUGGUACCUUGUUGUUUCUCUUAUUAAGUAUAUUAUAGCUUGGAUAUGAAGUAUCCCCUAAAAGCCCCUGUGUUAACUGCAAGAAUGUUCAGAGGUGAAAUGAUUAGAUUAUCAGAGCUAUAACCUGACCAGCCCAUCCUAGUUUGAAUGGACUAACUGGGUGAUAGCUGUAUGUAGGUAGGGCAUGGCUCAAAGAGGUGGGUCACUGGGGGUAUGACCUGGAAAGUUCGUCUUCCCUGCAGCCCCUUCCCCCCUUUCUCUCUGCUUCCUGGUCACUAUGAGCUGAUAGCCUUCCUCCAGGGCACUCUUUAGUCAUUGUGCUACACCUCACCACAGGCCCAGAGUGAUGGAAGUGGCUGACCACGGACAGAACCUUGGAAACCAUGAGCCGGAAGUAAACUUUUCCUCCUUUAGAUUGGUUUUGUCAGGUAUUUUGUUUAUAGCAACAAAAAGCUAACACAGAGUACUUCUUAUCUGCCGUUGCUCCUUGACUUUCAACUUGGCCAUGUGAUUUGCUUUGGCCAAUGGACAUUAGCAAAGAGAUUCAAGAAGAGGCUGGAGAAGUGUGAAAGCCUGCCUUGAGGCUUACCCUUUUGUGCUGCUCUUUGGAAUCCUGAGAUCUCAAUGUUAAGAAGCACAGAUGCCCUACUGUGGGAUGAGAAGCCACAUAGAACAGAGGUGAGCCAGCUUAGCUGAUGCCCCAUAGAUCAAUUUACCUAUGGGCUUGGGAAUGAGUCCAUCCUAAGUCUAUGUCCCCAGCCAAACCAGCCCAGCCCAAAAUUGCCAUGUCAGUUAUACCAGCCAACCUGCAGAAUUCUGAGUUAAAUAAGUGAUCAUUGUUUUAGGCAGCUAUAUUUUGGGGUAGUUUGUUGCAUAUCAAAUUCUAAAUAAUACUUAAAAGUAUAUGUGUGUGAAUUGUAUUAUACCCAAAUAUAAUAUGGCAUUGGCUUUGGGCCUGAGAAGCUAAUCUAAUAGAGACUGGAGAAUAAUGAGGAAAUCUGUUUGCAAAAUCUGGGAAAAUGACAACCUAUUAGAAAGGAAAAAAUAGCAAAUCAUCACCAUGCUCUGUGGGACUAUAGAGAAGGUACCAAAUGAACUUGUGGAUCUGACUAAGAGAUUUGCCAUGGAAUAUGGUUGUCAGUUUGCUGCUUUUAACCACAUAUGAUAAGGUACAGAAUGAGAGAAAUGAAUUAAAGAAAUACUUGUUCCCCUGGCAAGCAGCAGUUUUGGGAAAUAACUUUAGCUCUUUAGCCAUGAAAAUAUUCUCAAGAUACAAAAUGGCUGUAGGGUAAAUAUCAAGUCAUGGGUAUGUCUGUAAAACCCUUUAUUACAAUGUUUGAAAUAUUAUAUUUUAUUGGUGCUUGGAAAACCCUCUCAGUGAAAUAAUGGGUGUCUAAAAAUCUUGGUGACAUGAUUCCACAGUAGCCUGACACUGCUCUAAGUAGAAAGAGGCUUCUCAAAAAAGAAUUGUUGAUGUGGCAUUUGGGGCAUAGAGUUGACCUGAACAUAUUCAUAGGAAACUCAUAGUUUUUAAUUGAGUUUUACCUGUGGAACUACCUCCAUACUGGCCUUAAAGGAACUGAAACAAUUAAAAAUGAAAAAUGGCCUCUGGAAAUUCCUCCCUAACUUCUGUGAACUGGAUGCAAGACAACAAUGUUACUCAGCUACAAGUAUGGACCAUUUCUUAUGGGAACUGAAGGAUGUGUCAGAGGAAAGGCCCAAGAACAGUGUAUUAAAAUGGACUGGAAAGCCAUUUCCAGGAAAAACUUGCCCUAAUCAAAAAACACUAUCUGCCCCUGGAGCAAGGGGACCUGACAUUUUCUCUGUGGUAUUUCAGAAUUGUUAUGGAACAGUGACUGACACAUGCCUCUUACUGCUCUCCUGGCUGAAUGGGAGUACCUAUUGCAGUUAGUCUCUUUCUCCCCAUGUAUAUCUUAAGUGUGUGUUUGAGAGAGGCAUGUCAAAUAACUUGUCAUUUAGCUCACAGGAUCAAGAAACUGAGAAACUGUAUUCAAAGAGCCUCGGCCACAUGUGAACCUGGUAUAGAAGACUUGGAAUCCUGGAUUUAAACCUGAUACCAUGAUUUGGGAUGGGAUAUUUAGAGAUCCUGGAAUGGGAGUGAUCAUGUUUUGCAUGGGGUGAUAAUGUGAAUAAUUUGUCAUCAGAACAUACACUGUGUUAGAAAAAUGUUACAUGUUUCCUAUCUCUAUGUGUGUGUCCUUUUCAGCUUUUAUUUCUCUUUGCAUUUCAUUUGGAAUAACUUACGUUAAUCUAUCUUCAAGAACACUGAUUUCCCAAGAUCCUGGCUCUGUCAGGUAUACUGAUGAACCUGUUGAAAGCAUUUUUUCAGUUAUGUUUUAUUUUUUAUAUUUACUAUUUCCAUUUGACUUUUAUAUCAUUUAUAUUUCUGCAAAACUUCCCCAAUUGUUCAUUCACAUUGUUCCCAUUUUCCACUAUUUCCUUAGUUUGGACUACUGUAACAAAGUACUAUAGACUGGAUGGCUUAUAAACAACAGAAAAUUAUUUUUCACAGUUCUGGAGGCUAGAAGUCUGAGAUCAGGUACCAAUAUGAUCAGGUUCUGGUGAGGACCUUUUUCUGGAUUGUAGACUACCAGGUUCUCAUUGUAUCCUUACUUGGCUUCUGAUUUUCAUAUCCUCACUAGAAAGCUCUCUGGGGUCCUUUAUAUAAGGGCAUGAAUCCCAUUUGUGAGGCCUCCAUCCUCAUGACCUACCUACCUCUCAAUGGCCCCACCUCCUGAUACCAUCUCAUUGGGGAUAAGGAUUUCAGUAUACAAAUUUUGUGGGAACACAGACAUCCAGUCUAUAAUACCCUUUAAUAUAUUUAGCCAAAUUUAUUUUAAGUUCUCUGCCUGAUAGUUCCAGUAAGUCAGCCAAGCGAGUUCCGGUCUUUUGACAGUGGGUUCCUUUCUAUUGCUGUUUUGCAUCUACAAGUUUUAGCUGAAAGUUGGAUGUUGUAUAUAGGGCAAUGUAAACUGAAAUGAAAAGUAUUUAUUCCUGGAAAUAGACAUGGCUGCUCUUCUAAUAGAUAGGCAUUAGCAUGGUGGCAUUGAGUUGAUCCAGUCAGUGGUCAGGUAGGGUUUUGGUUUUGUUGUUGCUAUUGUGAAUUUUAGUGUAACAUAGACUUCAAAUUCCUGUAAUGUUACCUUGUGUUUGAAGUAGACACUGGUUUUCCAGAGAAUUUUUCCCAAUGUUCCUGGACUGUACUUGCCUUUAGGCCUUUCCUGGGUUUCUGCAUCUCAGUGAUAGUCUCUCUAUAUUCUUGUAUCUCUCUCUUAGUAGUUGAUUUCUGGUUUUUUGUUUGUUUGUUUGGAACUGGGGAUUGAACCCAGGGGCACUUUACCCUUGAGGUAUAUCCCCAGCCCUUUUAAUUGGGGGUGGGGGGCAGAAAGUGUCUCUCUGUUGCCUGGGCUAGCUUUAAACUUAUGAUCCUCCUGCCUCAGCCUCCCAAAUUACUGGAAUUACAGGCAUGCAUCACUGUGCCCACUUAGACUGCUGCUGUUACUCGGUUCUUGCUAACUUGGUAUGGGACACAGAAGUUGUCCUGUGUCCCUGGGUCUUAACAUUUUUUUUCCCAGUGAUCCUGCCCCUCUUCCACUGGUAAGAGGUAUUUUAUUGUCUGGCCCAAGAUAGUUUCCUCCCAUUCCAUCAUGGGUAGAUUUUUUUUUUCUUUUCCUUUCCUCUAGUCACAGUGGAUCUUCACCUGUAUCCUGAGAGUGACAGGGUUUGCUGCACUGCACUAAAUGGCUUAAGGUUUUUGUUUGAUAGAAUAGGGUCCCUUGGGAUUUUGUAUCAUUUUUGUAUCAGCACUCAUCCCCCCUAGUGGCAUACCCCAUGGAAGGAUGCCUUCUCUACUUUCCCACUCUACUACUAGUGUUUCUUAUGAGCACCCAGUGGAAGUCUGUGGUGAAGAGCCUGCAGGUGGGAGCCAACAGCCCUUAGGUCUACAGCUCUCAGGGGUUCUAUAUUCUCACUAUCCCACUCUCAGCCUUUAACAGUUUAUUAGAAUUGUCCAUUUCUUUGGAUAAUGGAACAUUAGCAAAUAUGACACAAGAACUUAUAAGAAGUGUUUGCACAUUGAAGUUUGCCCACUCUUGCUGCUCUUUGGAAUCCUAAGCCCAUGUGUGAAAAGGCAGGGACUAUGAAGUUGGAAAAUGACAGACCACUUGGAGCAGUGAUGGAGCAGAUAUGAUUCAUCCCAACUGAGGCAGCUCGACCAACCAGAUUUUCAACUACCAAAUAUGUAAAUGAAGACAUCCCAGCCAGGUAUCUCUGAUCAAGGUAACUAUGGUUAGCAGUCUCUGAGCUGAUCCUGAAUGAUCCCUCACUCGUGGUAUUCAUACUCUUGUAUAAUUCUCUCUCCUUGAUUUGGGCUAGAUUUAAUGACUUGGUUCUAGAAUAAGGCGGAGGUAAUGGAUGUCACUUCCAAGAUUAGGUUACAAAAAGACUGUGGCUUCUGUUUUGGGUGCUCCUUUAAUCUCUCAGAUGGCUCAUCCUAGGGGAAGACAGCUGCCAUCUCAUUAAGUAGCCCUUUACAAAGGCCCAUGUGAGUGAAUUUGAGAGGAUAUCCUUCCCCAGUGUUGCCUUCAGGUGGGACCUUCAAGCCCGAUAGCUUUACUAACCUCAUGAGAAAUCUUCAGCCACAGGCAUACUUCUGAGCCAUACCUGAAGGGGACCCACAGAAAUUGUGAGUUAAUAAAUGUUGUUUUAAGCUGACAAAUGUUAGGGUGAUUUGUUACAUAGUCAUAGAUUAGUAAUAUAUUGGCCCAGACAAGGAAGGCUCUGCCAUCUAUUCUACCCAUCCCAGACAACUAACAGAAUAAUGGAUUACAAUGUUUAUUUUAAGUCUCUAAGUUUGUGUGGCUUGUUACCUAGAAAAAAACCUAGCUGAUAAAUUUACUAUUCAGUGAAUUUUAUCCUCCACUAUUCUUCCCCAACAGAUAACCAAUACUAAUCAACUACUAUGAACACUUCCAUGUUUUAGUCUUGCUAAUAAACCUGUAUAGAUGUACAUAUGUGAGUAUGCUUAUAAUUGUAUAGAAACUAUAUAAGGAUUGCUUUCUUCUUUAAUGCAUACUACUAUCUCUGAAUCUUGCUUUAUUACUCAACAACUCUCUUUUGAAUGGUUGCAUGAUAGUUUGUGGGGUGGAUAUGCAAGAAUCUAUGCCAUUAUUUGCAUAUUAAAAUUUCUUCAAAUUUUUGUCAUUAGGAAAAUGUUACUAAGAAUAUUAAGGAGUUGGGCUGGGGAUGUAGCACAGUGGUAGAGCACUUGACUAUCAUAUUUGAGACCCUGGUUCUGAUCCACCACACACACACACACACACACACACACACGUGUGAAGAAAUAGCUUGCCUAGGCUCAUGCCAGAGUUAUCAGUCCUUGCUUUACCAAUUUUUAGCUGUGUAACCUCGGACAGGUUAGUUAACUUCUCUUUCCUGAUUUUUUCAGCUAUAAAGAUGUUCACACUAGUUACCUAUCUUAGAUUUCACUACGAAGCAUACUCUUUUCCUGGGACUGCUUUACAAAGUACCAGGAAAAGAGUGGCCUAAACCAACAGAACUUUAUUAUACACAGUUCUGGAGGUUAGAAGUCCAAAAUCAAGGUGUCAUCAGGGCCCUGUUGUAACCUAUGAAAAUGGUAGGGAAGGGACUAUUCUAUGCCUCUUUUCUAACUGCUGGUUGUUUUGUGUGUUACUUUGCUUGUGGAUACAUCAGUCCAUUGAUAUGGCUGAUUUCUCCCUGAGGUCAUCAUGCAUCUGUCUCUGUGUCUAAAUUUUCCUUUUUUGUAAGAAUACCAGUAUAUCAGAUUAGUUCCUACCCUAAUAACUUCUUUUUAAUCUGAUAGCCUCUGUAAAGACAAUUUCCAAAUAAGGUUAUGUUCUGAGGUACUGGGGGUUAUGAUUUCCACAUAUCUUUUUAGGAGGACACAAUUCAACUCAUAUCAAGAAGUUAAUGGAUUUAUUUGUGUAAGGCACUUAGAACUUUGUAUGGAAAGAGGUUCUUAAUGACUAUUAGAUACAUCUCCUUUACUGUACUUGCUUAGGUCUCCAUACGACUUCCUGUGCUUGGGAAAGCAGUGGGAUUUGAGAAUGUCUAUGACAUUUAAAUCUCAUCCAACUACCUGAAGAGAAAUGUGGUAUAAAAAGCAAAACGCAAGCCUCAGAAUAAGGCUUAUAUGAUCAACAUUUGAGGAAUAGGCCAAGAUGGAUCCAUCUGUAGUAGAUAAUGAGAAGGAGCACCCAGAGAGGUCAAAACAUGCCAAGUGAGAAAGGAGCUCACAGAAGAGUGUUUCCAAGAUAUGUUUCAAUGGAGGGUAUGUCCAGAAUGGAGGUCAGGUUAUAUGAGAGCAGAAAACUGCUGAUUUUGUAACAGAUACGCCAUUGUUGACUUGGAUGAGUGCUAUUUUGGAAAUGAAUUUAAGGAAAGCAAUUGAGGAAACCUGAAGGAAUUUCUGAAUUCAUCAUAAAGUGACUUCUGGUAGAAAAAAUACUAGGUCAUUGGGCUGGAUUGCUCUGUGUUGUCUGGGUUAAACUGAGAAAUGAGGAUUGGCAAGAAGUAGAAUUUAUAUGAGACUUGGGAGGACAAAAGGAAGGAGCAACUUCCCCUCUAAAAGUCUUUGAAAUUAUAUACACUGAAGGACAGAUGCAGAGGUAUCCAGCAAGUUUUCUUUUUUCCUCACUCUUCCACUCUAUAUCCAGCCCUUCUUUCCAUCUCAAUGCUGCUGACAGUGGCCCCAGGCCCACCACCUUCUUGGGUGCAGACCCACAAAGGGAACAGCUUCUUGUAGAUUUUAUCACUUCCCAUUCACAGUCCCACUUCAGUAAUUAGAUGUUCUAGCUCCUCAGAUAUUCCUGAAAGCUCUGAUUAUCCCACCCAUUCCAAUGGUUUCUAGAACCUUCCAGCCCCCCUCUUAUCUUUUUAAAAAAAAUUUUUUUAAUUGUCAAUGAACCUUUAUUUUAUUUAUAUGUGGUGCUGAGGAUUGAACCCAGGGCCUCACACAUGCUAAGCGAGCGUUCUACUACUGAGCCACAACCCCAGCCCCCUCUUCUUAGCUUUAUACUCCCGGAUACUCCUAUAAAUUGUGCAUGGCCUAAUUAAUAUUUUAAAAUUCCUUAUUCCACAACAGGGAUAUAGCUCAGUGGCAAAGUGCUUUCCUAACAUGGUUGAGGCCCUGGGUUCAAUCCUUGGCACCACCAAAAAUGAAAAAAACCCUUAUUCCAUAAUAUUCAUAUUGAUUAUGCUUUCCCAAUUGAUAGUUACACUUUCUUUUCCUGAGAACUUGAACUUGAUAAGUGUUGUUCUAAAAGUGAGUGAUGCCAGUGAGAAGUCUUACACAAACUUGCUCUUUUUUUCCUUGUACAUUAUAUGAUGUGCCUUUCUGCCAUAUGAUAUUUUUUUUAAUUUUUGAAGUUCUUUUUUAAAAUAUUUUUUAGUUGUUGAUGGACCUUUUUUUUUAUUUAUAUAUGGUGCUGAGAAUUGAACUCAGUAUCUCACACAUGCUAGGCAAGUACUCUACCACCGAGCUACAACCCCAGCCCUGAAAUUAAGUUUUAUGGAAGCACGUAUCUUGGUCCUGAUUUAUUUUUUGCACUAAGGAUUUAACCCAGAGGCACAUUACUGCUGAGCUACAUUCCUAGUCAUUUUUAGUUUUCAUUUUGAGGCAGGGUCUUGCUAAAUUGCUGAUGCUGGCCUCAAACCUGUAAUCCUCCUGCCUCAGCCUCCAAAGUCACUGGGAAUACAAGCGUGCACCGCCACACCCGUAAAUCCUGAUCUUUUGUAUUAAUUUUACCUGGGUUAUAGUAAGCCAUUAUGGUUAUUAAUUUCAUGAAAGUUUUAUUUUGCAUAACUUUUUAUCUGAUCCAGUUUUUCUCUUAAAGGGAUGUCAAUUAUGUAAGAUAGCUUUGUCAUCUUCUACAUUUAUUUUGUACCACUCCAUGUUCAUUUCAUAUCAUUAUUCUUCUUGGAUUAGUGUGAUUGACUCUAGCCUCCUAUUAGAAGAUAAUUCUGUAUGAAGUUAUUAAUGUUUAUACUUUAACAACCAAUUUGUUCAGAUUUAUUUACAUUUCAAGAUAGUGGAGAUAGAGAAUGUCUCUUUUCUUUCUAGAGACAUUCCCAGAGUAGAUUUGGUAACAUUCCAGGGUAGUAAAAAUAAUGUCUCUAUUUGAAGAAGAGGAUGGGCAAUAAAACAAUAUUAAUAGCAUUUUCGUUCACAUUUUAAUCAUGUACAUUUUCAAUCAUGUAGAAAUAUUAAAAUAACUGUAUAAUAAACAUCCAUAUAACUUUCAUCUAGGUUUAACAAUGUAUAUAUAAAAUUUUCCUGAAAUAUCAAUAGUAAGUUGUAGACAUUGUAACAUUAUACCCCUAAAUAAUUGAGCAUCCAUGUCCUAAAAAUAAUAAUGUUCUCCCCAAAACUGGAAUAUCAUAUCAAUCUAAUUUGAUAAUGUCUCAUGUCCAAUUCAUUUUCAGUUUUUUUCCAUUGUCUCUGAAAUAUAUUUUACAGCUUCAUUGUGGUUUAAUUAGCAUAUACUAAAUGGCACUUGCUUAAAGUAUACAAUUUGAUGAGUUUUGAUGUGUGCACCUUUCAUCACUACAAUAAAAAUGAAUAUAUCCACUCCCGCAACAAGUUUCUUAUGCCUUUUUGUCAUCUAGUCCUUCUUUCUCUAUUACCUUUUCCCCAUCCAUAGGCAACCAUUGAUCUAUUUUCUGUCAUUAUAGACUAGUUUGCAUUUUCUGUAAUUUUAUAUAAAUAAAAUUAUAUGGUAAGCACUCUUGUUUGACUUUGUUCAGCAAGAUAAUUAUUUUGAGAUUCAUUUGUGUUGUUAUUUGUAUCCUUAUUCAUUGCUUUUUAUUGCUAAAUGGUAUUACAUUGUAUGUAUGUACCAAAGUUUGUUUAUCCAUUUAUGUAUUGGUGGCAAUUGGUUAUCUUGUUUCUAACUAUUACAAAUAAAAUUAAUAUGAACAUUUUCAUACAA